UCAAUAGCGUAUAUUAAAGUUGUUGCAGUUAAAAAGCUCGUAGUUGAAUUUUGGAUUCUUCCAAUUGGUCCAUCUUUUAGAUGAGUACUGGUUGUGUGGGGUCUAUCCGCCUGGUGAUACGUAAUGUCCUUUAUUGGAUGUUUCGGGUAGUCAGGACCUUUACCUUGAAAAAAUUAGAGUGUUUAAAGCAGGCUUAUGCCGGAAUACAUUAGCAUGGAAUAAUAGAAUAGGACGAAGUUGUUUUAUUUUGUUGGUUUCUAGGACAACCGUAAUGAUUAAUAGGGAUAGUUGGGGGCAUUAGUAUUCAAUUGUCAGAGGUGAAAUUCUUGGAUUUAUUGAAGACUAACUACUGCGAAAGCAUUUGCCAAGGAUGUUUUCAUUAAUCAAGAACGAAAGUUAGGGGAUCGAAGACGAUCAGAUACCGUCGUAGUCUUAACCAUAAACUAUGCCGACUAGGGAUCGGGCGAUGUUGUUUCCAUGACUCGCUCGGCACCUUAUG
Molecule: ribosomal RNA, 499 nt
Filed under: uncultured Glomeromycotina
Lineage: Eukaryota; Fungi; Glomeromycota
Description: partial small subunit ribosomal RNA
Rfam family: Eukaryotic small subunit ribosomal RNA
Source: RNAcentral